This 430-nucleotide ribosomal RNA is filed under the name uncultured bacterium. RNAcentral's name for it is "partial 16S ribosomal RNA". It matches the Rfam family "Bacterial small subunit ribosomal RNA", at positions 354 to 796 of the family's 1533-position model. The record is from RNAcentral.
GUGGGGAAUAUUGCACAAUGGGCGAAAGCCUGAUGCAGCAACGCCGCGUGAGGGACGACGGCCUUCGGGUUGUAAACCUCUUUUAGUAGGGAAGAAGCGAAAGUGACGGUACCUGCAGAAAAAGCACCGGCUAACUACGUGCCAGCAGCCGCGGUAAUACGUAGGGUGCAAGCGUUGUCCGGAAUUAUUGGGCGUAAAGAGCUCGUAGGCGGUUUGUCGCGUCUGCUGUGAAAACCCGAGGCUCAACCUCGGGCCUGCAGUGGGUACGGGCAGACUAGAGUGCGGUAGGGGAGAUUGGAAUUCCUGGUGUAGCGGUGGAAUGCGCAGAUAUCAGGAGGAACACCGAUGGCGAAGGCAGAUCUCUGGGCCGUAACUGACGCUGAGGAGCGAAAGCGUGGGGAGCGAACAGGAUUAGAAACCCCGGUAGUCC